RNAcentral lists this ribosomal RNA (605 nucleotides) under uncultured bacterium. Its description in RNAcentral is "bacterial SSU rRNA". It matches the Rfam family "Bacterial small subunit ribosomal RNA", at positions 888 to 1498 of the family's 1533-position model. The record is from RNAcentral.
GCAAGAUUAAAACUCAAAGGAAUAGACGGGGACCCGCACAAGUGGUGGAGCAUGUGGUUUAAUUCGAAGAUACGCGAAGAACCUUACCUAGCCUUGACAUUGAUAGAAUCUUCCAGAGAUGGAGGAGUGCCUUUCGGGGAACUUAAAAACAGGUGCUGCACGGCUGUCGUCAGCUCGUGUCGUGAGAUGUUGGGUUAAGUCCCGCAACGAGCGCAACCCUCGUCAUUAGUUACUAACAGUUCGGCUGAGGACUCUAAUGAGACUGCCUUCGUAAGGAGGAGGAAGGUGAGGACGACGUCAAGUCAUCAUGGCCCUUACGGCUAGGGCGAUACACGUGCUACAAUGGUUAGGACAAUGAGAAGCGAUACCGCGAGGUGGAGCAAAUCUAUAAACCUAAUCUCAGUUCGGAUUGUAGUCUGCAACUCGACUACAUGAAGCUGGAAUCACUAGUAAUCGUAGAUCAGCCAUGCUACGGUGAAUACGUUCCCGGGUCUUGUACUCACCGCCCGUCACACCAUGGGAGUUGAUUUCACCCGAAGCGGGGAAGCUAAACUGGCUACCCUCCACGGUGGAAUUAGCGACUGGGGUGAAGUCGUAACAAGGUA